UCGCCUGUUUAUCAAAAACAUGUCUUUUUGAUAAUUAUAUAAGGUUUAAUCUGCCCGCUGAUUAGUUGAAGGGCCGCAGUAUUUUGACUGUGCAAAGGUAGCAUAAUAAUUAGUUUAUUAAUUGUAAGCUGGAAUGAAUGAUUGGACGAGGAAUAUUUUGUCUCUUAAUUAUUUUAUUUGAAUUUUACUUUUAAGUUAAAAGGCUUAAAUUUUAGUGAAAGACGAGAAGACCCUAUAGAGUUUUAUUUUUGUUUUUUUUAAUUUGUUAAUUAGUAUUAUUGGUUUUUAAUUAAAGCUUAAUUUGGUUGGGGUGACUAGAAAAUUAAAUAAACUUUUCUUUAUUUUUUCAUUGAUUUAUGAUUUUUUGAUCCAUUUAUUGAUUUAAAGAUUAAAUUACCUUAGG
RNAcentral lists this ribosomal RNA (403 nucleotides) under Trogoderma simplex. Its description in RNAcentral is "partial large subunit ribosomal RNA". The stretch from base 1 to 164 matches the Rfam family "Bacterial large subunit ribosomal RNA", at positions 1796 to 2022 of the family's 2925-position model. Lineage: Eukaryota; Metazoa; Arthropoda; Insecta; Coleoptera; Dermestidae. The record is from RNAcentral.